UACGUAGGGUCCUAGCGUUAUCCGGAUUUAUUGGGCGUAAAGCGUGCGCAGACGGUUUAUUAAGUAUGGAAUUAAAGCCCGGGGCUCAACCCCGGUUCGUUUCAUAAACUGAUAUGACUAGAGUGUAGUAGAGGCAAGUGGAAUUUCUAGUGUAGCGGUAAAAUGCGUAGAUAUUAGAAGGAACACCAGUGGCGAAGGCGACUUGCUGGGCUAUUACUGACGUUCAUGCACGAAAGCGUGGGGAGCAAAU
This 250-nucleotide ribosomal RNA is filed under the name uncultured bacterium. Its description in RNAcentral is "partial 16S ribosomal RNA". It matches the Rfam family "Bacterial small subunit ribosomal RNA", at positions 524 to 773 of the family's 1533-position model. The record is from RNAcentral.